Molecule: ribosomal RNA, 525 nt
Filed under: Bacillus subtilis
Lineage: Bacteria; Bacillati; Bacillota; Bacilli; Caryophanales; Bacillaceae
Description: bacterial SSU rRNA
Rfam family: Bacterial small subunit ribosomal RNA
Source: RNAcentral
UCGGGAGGGCCAGCAGUAGGGAAUCUUCCGCAAUGGACGAAAGUCUGACGGAGCAACGCCGCGUGAGUGAUGAAGGUUUUCGGAUCGUAAAGCUCUGUUGUUAGGGAAGAACAAGUACCGUUCGAAUAGGGCGGUACCUUGACGGUACCUAACCAGAAAGCCACGGCUAACUACGUGCCAGCAGCCGCGGUAAUACGUAGGUGGCAAGCGUUGUCCGGAAUUAUUGGGCGUAAAGGGCUCGCAGGCGGUUUCUUAAGUCUGAUGUGAAAGCCCCCGGCUCAACCGGGGAGGGUCAUUGGAAACUGGGGAACUUGAGUGCAGAAGAGGAGAGUGGAAUUCCACGUGUAGCGGUGAAAUGCGUAGAGAUGUGGAGGAACACCAGUGGCGAAGGCGACUCUCUGGUCUGUAACUGACGCUGAGGAGCGAAAGCGUGGGGAGCGAACAGGAUUAGAUACCCUGGUAGUCCACGCCGUAAACGAUGAGUGCUAAGUGUUAGGGGGUUCCGCCCUCUAAGUCUCGUAGGCC